GUUGGGUGGGGUGGUCCAUGCCUGUAAUCCCAGAUACUCAGGAGGCCGAGGCAGGAGGAUCUCAAGUUUGAGGCCAGCCUGAGCAACUUAGUGAGACCCUGUCUCAA
RNAcentral lists this small RNA (107 nucleotides) under Marmota monax (woodchuck). The record is from RNAcentral. Lineage: Eukaryota; Metazoa; Chordata; Mammalia; Rodentia; Sciuridae.